AAGUCGUAACAAGGUUUCCGUAGGUGAACCUGCGGAAGGAUCAUUACAAGUGAGCUGGUGACCGCCGGAAACGGCGCUCUCCCGGCUACACCCACCCGUGUCUAUAUACUCUUGUUGCUUUGGCAGGCCGUGGUCUUCCACUGCGGGCUCAGUUCGUACGUGCCUGCCAGAGGACCAAACUCUGAAUAUUAGUAAUGUCUGAGCACUAUUUUAAUAGUUAAAACUUUCAACAACGGAUCUCUUGGUUCUG
Molecule: unclassified non-coding RNA, 250 nt
Filed under: air metagenome
Description: partial contains small subunit ribosomal RNA, internal transcribed spacer 1, and 5.8S ribosomal RNA
Rfam family: Eukaryotic small subunit ribosomal RNA (bases 1-46)
Source: RNAcentral